RNAcentral lists this long non-coding RNA (1161 nucleotides) under Marmota monax (woodchuck). The record is from RNAcentral. Lineage: Eukaryota; Metazoa; Chordata; Mammalia; Rodentia; Sciuridae.
AGUCAACUGACCUCUAUUUUUAAAAUAGACAACAUAUGAGUUUGUUCUACUCUUUUUUCUUGGUUAUUUUUUGGGGGGUCCUUGUAUCUCAUUUUAAAGUAUAAAAAUAUAUAUUUUUUAAAGGGAACGGAGAAAACAUGUGUUUAAUAAGAUCUCAAAUUUAUCUUGUUUAUUAAUAAACAUUUCCAAAAUAAAUUCUAGUGACUAGCAAAAGAAAUAAGGCAAUUUUUAAUUUUUAAAUAUCCACUUACAUAUCAGAGGUUCUAUAGGUAACAGAAAGUUAAGAAAUAUUCUACCAUUUGCUAUCAACUCCCAGAUUGGAAAAUAAAUCUACUUCCGGAUAUUGUUCCCAACUGGGAAACUCUUCUGCACUACAUAGUUCUGUACAAGAUUUGUGAAAAUUUUGUUAACAUUUCUACCAGACUAGCAUAUCUACUGAAAUAGCACUUAUUACUUUAUCCUUUUCAUGAUGAUCAUCUCAAACUAUUGGUGAAAACUUGUUUUUUCUUGAUUAUAAAUUUCUAAAGGGUAAUAUUCUUAUCUUGUUUGGCCUCAGCAUGUAGCCUCAGUGUUAUGGUUUCUAUAUGAGGUGUCCUCCCAAAUGUCCUGGCUAAUGCAUUCAUUAAAAUAAGUUAGGUUCAUUAAAUCCAUAAAUUCAUAAGAUUAUGAGAACUGCAACCUAAUUAGUACAGCCUAGUUUAAAUUGACUAACAGGGUGGUAACUGUAGGCAGAUGGGAUGUGGCUAGAAAAGGUCACUCACUAGGGGCGUGUCCUAGAAAGAGUCACUUUCCAUUUGGCCAUUUCCAUUCUUUCUCUCCUUUCUGGAUGCCAUGAAUAAAAUAGUGCUACUCUGCCACAUCUUUCUACCAUGAUGUUCUCCCUCACCCUGGGUGGAGAGCAAUAUAGAAGGCCAACCAUGAAAUGAAUCUCUGAAACUGUGAGCCAAAAUAAACUUUUUCUUCUCUAAGUUGUUCUUGUCAGGUGUUUUGUUCACAGUAAUGAAAAACUGACUAACACACUGAAUAACCUGGCAAGUGGCACACAAUAAUUAUUUGUUGAAUAAAUAGUUUAUGUUUCCUGCAUCCAUUUAGUAAUUCAUUUAUCAUGCCAAUUCUUUUUUUAAUCCUAUUUUAAAGAUGAUUUAAAGUUUAUGAAUUGAG